GAGAAAGUACGCAAGAGCUGCUAACUCAUGCCACCGUACUUAGACGUACGGCUUUCUUA
RNAcentral lists this transfer RNA (59 nucleotides) under Microtus richardsoni (water vole). RNAcentral's name for it is "tRNA-Ser". The record is from RNAcentral. Lineage: Eukaryota; Metazoa; Chordata; Mammalia; Rodentia; Cricetidae.